GACGAACGCUGGCGGCGUGCUUAACACAUGCAAGUCGAACGAUGAAGCCUAGCUUGCUGGGUGGAUUAGUGGCGAACGGGUGAGUAACACGUGAGUAACCUGCCCCUUACUCUGGGAUAAGCGCUGGAAACGGCGUCUAAUACUGGAUAUUACCUUUCAUCGCAUGGUGUUUGGUGGAAAGAUUUUUCGGUUUGGGAUUGACUCGCGGCCUAUCAGCUUGAUGGUGAGGUAGUGGCUCACCAUGGCGACGACGGGUAGCCGGCCUGAGAGGGUGACCGGCCACACUGGGACUGAGACACGGCCCAGACUCCUACGGGAGGCAGCAGUGGGGAAUAUUGCACAAUGGGCGCAAGCCUGAUGCAGCAACGCCGCGUGAGGGAUGACGGCCUUCGGGUUGUAAACCUCUUUUAGUAGGGAAGAAGCGUAAGUGACUGUACCUACAGAAAAAGCACCGGCUAACUACGUG
This 466-nucleotide ribosomal RNA is filed under the name uncultured bacterium. Its description in RNAcentral is "partial 16S ribosomal RNA". It matches the Rfam family "Bacterial small subunit ribosomal RNA", at positions 28 to 507 of the family's 1533-position model. The record is from RNAcentral.